GAUAAAGACACGGCGCACAUGUAUCAGGUUCACCCAUGACAAAAAGUCAGGAAGGGUGCUAAAAAUCAACGCAAAUAUUUAAAAUGGGAAAUAUAUCAAGGCUUGCGUGUGAUUUCUUCAAAAGAUUGCCCAAACACAGGCUAUGGGAGAACUGGUUUACCAACAAUGAUACAAAAAGGAGCUCAGAGUCUGAGCUGACCACAAGCCCUACAUGAGCUAAGGCAGAGGCUGCCAAACAAACAAAUGCAAAUGCAGGCUGCAUUAACAGAGGCAUAGCAACCAGAACAGAGAAGGGACUGCCCUACCCUGCUCCACACUCAGCCAGACCCAGCUGGAGCUCUAGGACCUUUCUGACACUUUGGGGUAUGUGCUGAGUCAAGAGAGGGUGACCAGGCUAUAGAGGCCUGAAAACCAGGCCAUGUGACAAGUAGGCAGAGGACUGAGUGGGAGCAGGGUGGCUGGAGCAGAAUCUUUGCUGCCUAGGGUCUGCAGGGCUAUCCCCCACAGAGGAAGGCAUUUUUCCUAGCAGGGAGUGAGAUCUCUUCACUUUAGGGUUGGGUGUGCAAAGCGAGCAGGGGAAAGAUUCAGAACCUCAGGCUGGCACCCAGCACUGUGCUAUCCUAGGAAGAAACAGCUAAAUCCCAAUGAAAGUCUCUGCUCACCACCUCCCCUGCUCCUGCCCUGGCCUGGGCUUGGGGGGACCCAGAGAGACGUCCAUAGGGUUCUGCCCUCCUGGAUUCUCUGGCUCAGACGAUGGCCCCAUCAUAUACUCCUGCAGCCAAGGCAGAAAUCCAGGCAUCAGCCCGGACUCUUCCCUCACGCCCCCUCGUGUGCCCCCUUCUGUUUUCCUGCAGUGCCCUGAUGUCCUCUGUUGCAUUGUUUAUCAUCUUUUAUUGUAAAGGCUCCAAUUGUCCAUUUCCCCAUCUAGAUGCAAUGAAGGCAGAGGCUGUGUCUAUCUUGUUCCCUGCUGUAUUCUGGGCACCUGGCACAGUGCCUGGCACUUAACAGGUGCUAAUUAAACACUGUUGAUUGAAUUACUUAGUCCCUUUGAUUCCAUUUGCUUGAUACUCAUUGAAUCCAUACCCUCCUGUCUCCCCCAGCCGCAGUCUUUGCUCAGAUAAUUCCACCUGGGCACUGGAGCAGUUUUCUGACUGGGCUGCUUAUCUUACCUCCACCAUUCAGUCUAUUUUCCACAUUAUAGCUGGAGUGGUCAUUCUAAAGUGCCCAUCUAUCCUACUCUGAAUCCUUCCCUGGCUUCCCAUUACUUACAG
RNAcentral lists this long non-coding RNA (1271 nucleotides) under Homo sapiens (human). Its description in RNAcentral is "HSALNT0178077". The record is from RNAcentral. Lineage: Eukaryota; Metazoa; Chordata; Mammalia; Primates; Hominidae.